GUACUUCCCAGACAUUCUCUACCACAAGACCCCCAUUUCUGAAACCAAUCAGAAGUGGAGAAGGAAAAUGUUCCUGGCAUUUAGGAGACCAAGAGAAGAGACAGAGGGAAGCAGAAAGGAUAGCCAUGGAAAAUUCCAGAGCUUUGCAGUGGGGUAACUCUUGGUGGGAUCCUGGACAACUUCAGGAUGGAGACCGGUCACCAGAAAGACCAAGGUUUCAGUCCCAUCCCCCAUCCUCCAGAGAGACUGAGUUAAUGACGUGUCCUGCCUAUAUGAUGAAGCCUCUGUAAAAAUCCCCAAACAGUGGGGUUUGGAGAGCUUCCAGUUGCAGGUCCUUCUAGUUGUGGGAUGUGGGAUGCCGCCUCAACGUGGCCUGACGAGCGGUGCCAUGUCCGUGCCCAGGAUCCGAACCCUGGGCUGCUGCAGUGGAGCGCGUGAACUUAACCACUCGGCCACGGAGCCGG
This 464-nucleotide long non-coding RNA is filed under the name Equus asinus (donkey). RNAcentral describes it as "lncRNA (ENSEASG00005037927.1)". The record is from RNAcentral. Lineage: Eukaryota; Metazoa; Chordata; Mammalia; Perissodactyla; Equidae.